GGGUCAGUAGGUUGGUCGUGCCACCGGUACGUACUGGUCUCACUGAUUCCUCCUUCCUGAUGAACCGUAAUGCCAUUAAUUUGGUGUUGCGGGGAAACAGGACUGUUACUUUGAAAAAAUUAGAGUGUUUAAAGCAAGCUAACGCUUGAAUACAUUAGCAUGGAAUAAUGAAAUAGGACUAUCGAUCCUAAUUUGUUGGUUUCUAGGAUUGACGUA
Molecule: ribosomal RNA, 216 nt
Filed under: Glomeromycotina sp.
Lineage: Eukaryota; Fungi; Glomeromycota
Description: partial small subunit ribosomal RNA
Rfam family: Eukaryotic small subunit ribosomal RNA (bases 40-216)
Source: RNAcentral